AGCAGCCGCCGCGGUAAUACGUAGGUGGCAAGCGUUGUCCGGAAUUAUUGGGCGUAAAGGGCUCGCAGGCGGUUUCUUAAGUCUGAUGUGAAAGCCCCCGGCUCAGCCGGGGAGGGUCAUUGGAAACUGGGAAACUUGAGUGCAGAAGAGGAGAGUGGAAUUCCACGUGUAGCGGUGAAAUGCGUAGAGAUGUGGAGGAACACCAGUGGCGAAGGCGACUCUCUGGUCUGUAACUGACGCUGAGGAGCGAAAGCGUGGGGAGCGAACAGGAUUAGAUACCCCUGUAGUCCCUGUCUCUUAUAC
Molecule: ribosomal RNA, 303 nt
Filed under: uncultured bacterium
Lineage: Bacteria
Description: partial 16S ribosomal RNA
Rfam family: Bacterial small subunit ribosomal RNA
Source: RNAcentral